AGACUAUUCUUUUCUCGUUGAAUUGUCUUGCACUCUUGUCAGAAAUCAUUUGACCAUAAGCAGUGUGGAUUUUAUGCUGAGUGGGAUGGGCAGACUUUGAGGAAUUUGGGUCAAGGCAGUGGUGCUAUUUCCCUUCUAUUUUUACAAAGACCCCUUUGGCUUCGAGUGUUGAAUGAACAGGGAGUCAGGGGUAGGAAUGGGGAGACCAGUGAAGGGGACUACCAUGUUAGUCUGGGCAGGAGAUUGCGGUGGUUCUGGGUUGGUAAUAAGGAGUGGUUUUCGCCAGGACAGGCUUUACAUUGUUGAGCAGGCACAAAUGUGGGGUGAGCCACCUCUGGAGGUUUAUUUGGGAUUUCUCCCUUGGGCAGGACUCACAGAUUUCAAGCCCGGCUACUGGAUUGGCAUCCGCUAUGAUGAGCCACUAGGGAAAAACGAUGGCAGUGUGAAUGGGAAACGCUACUUCGAAUGCCAGGCCAAGUACGGUGCCUUCGUCAAGCCAUCAUUUGUGACAGUGGGGGACUUCCCUGAAGAGGACUACGGGUUGGAUGAGAUGUGACACUCAAGAAAGGACAUCCUGCCCCAGCUAACUUGCCCACUUAUUGCCCAUCCCUAUGUGUGCCCGUGGCCCUCUUCCCCGCACCCCAUUUUUAUUUUAUUUACUUUGUCCUUGUCAUUGACUUUUGAGACUUGAGUAUUAAAUUUGCCGGAACCGGAA
This is a long non-coding RNA of Hipposideros armiger (great roundleaf bat), 715 nucleotides long. RefSeq lists it as uncharacterized. The record is from RefSeq and is a predicted model, not a curated record. The transcript has 2 exons. NCBI's taxonomy places the organism in Eukaryota, Metazoa, Chordata, Mammalia, Chiroptera, Hipposideridae.